RNAcentral lists this ribosomal RNA (253 nucleotides) under uncultured bacterium. RNAcentral's name for it is "partial 16S ribosomal RNA". It matches the Rfam family "Bacterial small subunit ribosomal RNA", at positions 524 to 776 of the family's 1533-position model. The record is from RNAcentral.
UACGUAGGGGGCAAGCGUUAUCCGGAUUUACUGGGUGUAAAGGGAGCGUAGACGGCAUGGCAAGUCAGAUGUGAAAGCCCGGGGCUCAACCCCGGGACUGCAUUUGAAACUGUCAGGCUGGAGUGCAGGAGAGGUAAGCGGAAUUCCUAGUGUAGCGGUGAAAUGCGUAGAUAUAUGGAAGAACACCGGUGGCGAAAGCGGCUCUCUGGCCUGUAACUGACACUGAGGCUCGAAAGCGUGGGGAGCAAAUAGG